CGCAAGGGGAGCGGCAGACGGGUGGGUAACGCGUGGGAACAUACCCUUCGGUUCGGAAUAACUCAGGGAAACUUGGGCUAAUACCGGAUACGUCCGUGAGGAGAAAGAUUCAUCGCCGAAGGAUUGGCCCGCGUAAGAUUAGCUAGUUGGUGAGGUAACGGCUCACCAAGGCUAUGAUCUUUAGCUGGUCUGAGAGGACGAUCAGCCACACUGGGACUGAGACACGGCCCAGACUCCUACGGGAGGCAGCAGUGGGGAAUAUUGGACAAUGGGCGCAAGCCUGAUCCAGCCAUGCCGCGUGAGUGAUGAAGGCCUUAGGG
This 320-nucleotide ribosomal RNA is filed under the name uncultured bacterium. RNAcentral's name for it is "bacterial SSU rRNA". It matches the Rfam family "Bacterial small subunit ribosomal RNA", at positions 85 to 422 of the family's 1533-position model. The record is from RNAcentral.